This is a non-coding RNA of Bos taurus (domestic cattle), 72 nucleotides long. The record is from Rfam. NCBI's taxonomy places the organism in Eukaryota, Metazoa, Chordata, Mammalia, Artiodactyla, Bovidae.
UCCCUGGUGGCUCAGUGGUAAAGAAUCUGCCUGCCAAUGCAGGAGACACAGGUUCAAUCCCUGGUCCAGGAA